This 436-nucleotide ribosomal RNA is filed under the name uncultured bacterium. Its description in RNAcentral is "bacterial SSU rRNA". It matches the Rfam family "Bacterial small subunit ribosomal RNA", at positions 466 to 738 of the family's 1533-position model. The record is from RNAcentral.
AAAGUGACGGUACCUGCAGAAGAAGCACCGGCUAACUACGUGCCAGCAGCCGCGGUAAUACGUAGGGUGCGAGCGUUAUCCGGAAUUAUUGGGCGUAAAGAGCUCGUAGGCGGUUUGUCGCGUCUGUCUUAAAAGUUCGGGGCUUAACCCCGUGAUGGGAUGGAAACUGCCAAUCUAGAGUAUCGGAGAGGAAAGUGGAAUUCCUAGUGUAGUGGCGAGGAGAUUCCGUAAGUAGUGGCGAGGGGAUUCCGUAAGUAGUGGCGAGGAGAUUCCGAUAAGUAGUGGCGAGGAGAUUCCGUAAGUAGUGGCGAGGAGAUUCCGUAAGUAGUGGCGAGGGGAUUCCGUAAGUAGUGGCGAGGAGAUUCCGUAAGUAGUGGCGAGGAGAUUCCGUAAGUAGUGGCAGGGGAUUCCGUAAGUAGUGGCAGGUCGUGGGAGG